Molecule: ribosomal RNA, 254 nt
Filed under: uncultured bacterium
Lineage: Bacteria
Description: partial 16S ribosomal RNA
Rfam family: Bacterial small subunit ribosomal RNA
Source: RNAcentral
UACGUAGGUGGCAAGCGUUGUCCGGAUUUAUUGGGUUUAAAGGGUGCGUAGGCGGCCCUGUAAGUCAGUGCUGAAAUACCCCGGCUUAACCGGGGGGGUGGCAUUGAUACUGCAGGGCUUGAGUACAGAUGAGGUAGGCGGAAUUGACGGUGUAGCGGUGAAAUGCGCAGAUAUCAGGAGGAACACCGAUGGCGAAGGCAGGUCUCUGGGCCACUACUGACGCUGGAGAAGCGAAAGCGUGGGGAGCGAACAGG